Molecule: long non-coding RNA, 7582 nt
Filed under: Triticum aestivum (bread wheat)
Lineage: Eukaryota; Viridiplantae; Streptophyta; Magnoliopsida; Poales; Poaceae
Description: long non-coding RNA (TAES_LNC013013)
Source: RNAcentral
UUGUGUGUGUGACUGAGAGAGAACGUGUGUAUGUGUCCAUAUGUGUGUUGUGGCGGAAGGGCAAUGUGGAGACGGUGUGCAUGUGAUAGAAACAUAGAGAGGUGUGAAUGUGCAAAUGAUCAUGCAUGAGUGAGACAUAGGCAGAUGUCGAUACGUUGUGUAUACAUGAGAGAACGGUCUUCUAUUUGUACUUGUGUGUGUGUGUGAGAGAGAGAGAGGAGCAUCCAUAACACAACAACCAUCUCUCUCGAUUCAUCUGUCCCUCGCAUGAUCGCAUGUAACACAUGCAUCAACGCACACAUUUUGACACCCUCACCCGGCCCCUGCCCACCUCAAGGCCCGCACAUCGCUCUCUAUCUCGCACGCCCAAUCUCUUCAUGAAAACCCUAUUUAGCAUUUAGCUUUCCGUCACAUACACAGACAUUUCUCUCCAUAGGUUUGAUUUCUCUCAAUACCUGACACACACACACACACACACACACACACACACACACACACCGCACACACACUCCCCCUCCCCCGAGCACACAAUUCAUCCCCAUCCAAGGCUAUAUGGCGACCACUCUCGCUUGUGCUUCUCUGCACCCCAGCAUGUACAACACCUCAACCUUCAAAGAGGGCAUCGAGGAGAUCGAAGACGGCGACCACACUGCACUAGAGAAUGCGGGGCCAUUUGGAAGGAGGAUGAUGUGACGACGGGUGACUGACUCCCCUCCCCCCUCUCUCCCGCACAAAAAUACCAAUCCCUCUCUCCCACACAAAAUUAUCAAUCCCUCAGCCCACGAGAUGCUUCCGCUCUCGGCCAUGUUUUUCCAGCUCUCUCAUCAAACCUGUUGUCUCUUCUCCUUCCAUGUCUACAUAAUCCGGAUGCACACACAUCUCACGUAUAUUACAUGUCUCCAUCUAUCUCACAGGCCUAACUUCUUCCUCUCUCUUUCUCUCUCUAUCUCUCGUUAGGUUUGUCUCCUACUCUCUUGUCCACAUACACACAAUCUUUACCGCCCUAUCUGCUCCAUCUUUGCAAGCUCUCUCUACACGUUUCAUUCACACAUUGGGAUGUGUUCAAAAUGUUGCUUUUAUAAUGGAUGAUGUAGAGUUAUGGUUGGUUUUGUUGCAUCCUACAAAGUAAUAACUAUGAAAUGCAUUUAGAUUCUCAUUUGAUUGGGAUUAUGUGAGUUUGAGCAUAUUGUGAUGUACUAUAGACCUCGUAUACAUCUUGGAAUUCAACAAUGAUUGUAACUACUGAAUUGUAUAGACCAUUACAUUCGAAGUCAGUAGCCUAAUAUAUUUAUUUCACAAUUACAACAAAUGAUUAAUUCACUACAAACUAAGAAAACAAAUGUGUACUCCCUCCAUUUUUAUUUAAGUCCGCGUAUUAGCAUUGGUCAAAGUCAACUUUUGUAAACUCUUAGAAUGUUUAUAACAAAAAAAAUUAACAUAUACAAUAACAAAUAAAUACCAUUAGAUUCAUUAUUGAGUGUACUUUCACAUCAUACAUAUUUGUUAUGGUAAAUGUUUAUAUUUUUCUUUAAACUUGGUCAAACUUUAGGAAGUUUGACUUUGGUCAAACCUAAUAUGCAGUUAAUAAAAUCGAAGGGAGUACUAGUAGUUACUAGUACUACUCACUAGUUGCUUAGCCCAAUCACCCAACACACCACACGGGGAGUUCAGUGUCACAAAAUUUUGAGGUUGGCGGGAAAAUCUCCCGCGACCCUGAUUCGAGCAGGGCGAAGUUACCAUCAUAAACUUCGGAACAGGUCUACGGAUUAUAAUUGGUAGGGGCCUGACUUCGUAACUUCAAGUUCACCCUACCCAGCCAACCCCACCCCGGAACCCAGAGUAGUACACCUGAAUACUCCCCAUUUUCUAUCCCCACACCAAAAUAGACUUCUCCACGGCACCAUAGCCUUCGUGCUCCUCCCCUUCUCCAUCGGCGCACUCGUCCACCAUAGCGCAUCUGCCUCAUCGACGACCUCAUAUGCCGCACUGGAGCCGGUCCACCGUCGUUGUCGUACACGGAGCCUCUUCCCCGGCACUGUCUUCCAUGGUCUCGGAUCUGCUUCCCGGAAGCCGACGCCAAACGCAGAAGCACCACCGUCGUGGACAAUGAACUGACUCCCGUUGCCGACCAUGAUUCACAGAGGCCGCCGCGACCAUCAUUCUCCUCCUCGAUUGGUAAUGUGUGUAUUGAAUCACUUAGCAGUACACGUGCAGUUCCAAUUCUGUUCAUACCUACCCUUCAAAUUUCCUGGUUGCUAUUGUUCCCGUAAAAGUAAUUGGUUAUAGCCUCCAUUGUCCAAUAGAAUAUCAGCUUGUAAUUGUGUGUCGCUCCUGUAUCGCGAUGUGCUUGGGUAGGUUCUUCAUCUGCAACAGUAGUGUGGCAAAUGAUGGAAAGUUUUUUAGAACUAGCAAGAUGCCCAUGCAUUGCACUGAACAUCAAGAGGCAUUUGUAUGAGUAGUUUAUCUUGUAGGAGAAAAGGAUGAAUGAGGGAAGGCCUUAUUUGCAAAUCUGCAGAGGGGUGUGGGUAUCUUUCUGCAAAAUUGCCAUAGUGUCCUUCAUAUCCGUCAGAUAUAAAUCGGACAGCCUAUAUUGCAGGAUGGCAGGCACACAAUCAUCACCAACUCUAUUUUUUUAAAGAAAAAAAGUAGAAAAAAAGAGUAGAGAGUAGAGAAGUAGAGAUAAAUAUUAAAUAUAACAGUAUAUAAGAGAGUAGAGAUAAAUAUUAAAUAUUAAAUAAAUAUAACAGUAGAGAAGAGAGUAGAGAUAGCACGGACGUCGGGAAAGGAUCGCGCGCGCGCGGGAAAAAGCUGUCGGGCGCGCUCUAGUUUUGGCAGGCGGCGUCCGGCGCGCUUUAUAAAAUCCAACACCCUCCCACUGCUCUGUGCCUUGCCGCCGCUCUCUCCCCGCUCUGUGCCUCGCCACCGCUCUCUCCCCGCUCUGUGCCUCGCCACCGCUCUCUCCCCGCUCUUUCUCGCCUCGCCGCCGCUGCGCCACCAUGUCGCCGCGUUACCGGGAAACUUGGGGAUACCACGGCAUCCGCGCACGCCCCUCCAGCGGCUUCUCCGCCGAGAUCCGGUUCCGCGGGAUGCGCCUCGGCCUCGGCAAUUUCGACACCGGCAACGAGGCCGCCCGCACGUACGACGCGGCGGCGUGGCACCUCCUAUGGCCUCAUAGAACAUUGAACUUCCCCAACGUGCUGACGCGGGAGCGGGCGCAGGAGCUCGCGCCUCUGCCGCGGCUUACCACCGACAAGGAUCGUCGCGACAACCGGACGCGGGAGCACGUCUCGGCAUCGCCGAGACGGAUGAGGAAGCCAUGGCGCUGUGGCUUCAACGCUUCCCGUAGGAUAUCAUCAACGAGCGCGAGUUCUACGCGCAAAGGAGGGCGGAGAGGGAGAAGAAGAGGGCGGAGCGAGCCGCCUAUCACGAUGACAAGCGUAUGCGAAAAGCUGACGCUCAAUUCAACAUGAGGCUAGGAGCAGCGUCGCCCUGGGAAUCCGACAAAGAUCGGUAACUUCACGCCUACAUUGAGAUGUCGGAGGAGGACAUCACCGAGGAGGAGUCGGACGACGAGGAGUAGCUGAACUAUCUAUUUUUUAGCUAUCUAUGCUAUAUCUAUGCUGAGAACUAUCUAUGUCUCUACUCUCUAGUCUCUACUCUCUAUCUCUACUUCUCAAUCUCAGCACUGUAAACGCUUUUUAAAGUGUUGUGUGUUGCGCUUCUGUUGGAGAUGCUCUAACAUGACAGACGGGUGCUUUAAUGUUGCCCACAAGAUGCAUGAGUAUUACUAGUAUAUUUUUCUUGCCAUGUUGAGAUUUUAAAACCACGAGUGCGAACAUGCAGAGGAGCAAUGAAGACCAAACACGGGAUAUUGGGGACAUCUUCAAGGAGCGUGGCAAGUUAAAGAGGAGCUGCACCGAACCUGUAAAACGACCUUUGGUAAGUAACACCCUUUUAAUUACUUUCGUUUAGCCUCGUGUUCUUCGAUGUGUAUAUGUUGUAGUUUCUGUUUCUCUUAGCCUCGUGUUCUUUGAUGUGUAAUAAGAAGAGUCUUAAUCUUCCUAGUGCUUUCGUGUUUAGCUUAAUGUAGGAAGUGGGUGUUCUCACCUUGUAGUCUAUUUUUAUAUUUUUCCUUUUGGAUUCACUUCUCCGAGUCCUGUUUAUCUGGCUUCUACUAAAUGGGUCUGGUUUGCUUUGAGUAUUGAUCUAAAAAAGAAGUAACUUCAUGUCAGGAUGUAGUUCAUGCGAGGAGGGAAGUAUGGUCAACCUCGAGAUCAAGUUUCCAAAAUGAGGCUGGAUUACACACAAGGUACCAGUUCCCUAAUGAUGCUGGAUUAGACACAAGGUGCAAAUUCCCAGAUGAUGCUGGAUUACAGACAAGCCAGGUGGAGUCGUCAACUGUUCGUGUCCUCGUGGCUCUAGUAAAGGCUGAAAGAAAGCGUGCAGCAGCCCUUGAGAAUGUAGCUGAUUUCCUGAAGAAGCGAAAAGAGCAAUCAGAUGCUCUCUUCACCCAAGCCAAAGGAGAGAUGGAAGAAGCCAGAAAGAAGCUAGCAGAGGCAGAGCAGGCUAGGUGUCUCCUGCUAUCUAAAACUGUUGUCAAUACAAAUUUUCCUUCAUAAUAGCUAGGUUCAAAUGUUUAUCCAGUUAGCAUGCCUGUUGUGAUGUUCGUGCAUCUACUAAUGUGGCACAAAAUAAUAUUUUUUUCGGGUCAUGUAAUAACAGCAAUUACUUUCCAAACAAUAACAGACGAAGCAUUGGACAUGGUAUAGUUCACGAGCAAGCCCAACAUUCCAAGUUCAACUUCCACAUCAAACUCAUGUUCACAGAUAUCUGCACAUUCAUAGAUAAUGUCCACAACCAUGAUUCACUUGAAAGCCAAAAAAAUGUGAGGAGAGUUAUAAAUAAAGAAAAACCUCUAGUUCCAACUACCAAUGCGAGCACAACAAGUCAAGACCAUGCGUAAUUAAUUAUAUUUUGGUCAUUUUUUGACUAAUCGUGAAUAACUUCUGGAAGCAGGUACAAUUUGUAAUGCCGGUCGUGGCUGGGGUCCACGAUGUUUUGAGCCAAACCGGGCAACACACCGGGUGUCUAUGUAGGCGACGCGGUGGUCGUAGCAUUCGUGGGUUCAGAGCGGCGGCGGCUCCCAUGGUCUACUAUUCCUCGGUGUCGGUGAUGGCUGCAAACGUGUUGGCCACCUCUGCCAGCAUGCCGCGGUUCCGCCAACGUUUGCGUCGGAUGGCGCGGCCAACCACGGUGCACUGGACGUCGUGGUCCCCCGUGUGCCGGCGUGCAGCAACUGGCCACUCCUCUGCGAGCACGCUUAGAGCGUCGAGUUGAUGCACCAGGGGCUAGCUUGGAGCGGCGGCUUGCUCCUCCACUUGCCCACCUGCAGCCUCGCCCAUCGUACUGACGGCCUGGGUCAGGGAGGGAGGUGGGGCAGCGAGUUUCCUGGCUUGUCGGGGCACCUAGCCGGCUUUUAUGCCGGAGAACUCGUCUUCCUGCUCACCGGAUGCUAUGGGGAGUGUGGAGAAAAUGGUGUAAGGAGGGGGAGCAGCGGUGUGGUGCGGUUCUUGCCAGGCGUCUGGCCUCGUUUAAAUAGUGAGCGGACGAGAGGAGCCAGCCGCCUACGUUGUGUUCUAAAAUGCGAGCUGGCUCGCGGAAGGACGUGUUGCCGGCACACGCGCGGAUUCAAUGGAGGCAGGCGGGGCAGUCUAAAGCCGGUUGCAUGUGGCGAGGAGGCGUGUUCAGCCUGGCCUGCAGCGAGUGGGGCCCUCUUGGCUUGCGCGCCGAUUCAAUGCCUGCGCUAUGAGAGGUUGUGUCCGUGUCAGAGCAAUCACUCCCUCCAGUCCUUUUUUGUUUGGGUAUAACAAAAUCUCGUUUUCCAUUCACAUUUUACAAGUAAAAUUCGUGGACAAACUUUGACCCAAAAUACGAUGGGGACUAGUAAACCAGGACGGAGGUAGUAGUUUUUUUAUCAAAGAAGGGUUUCCCCCAUCCGAUUUUCAUUACUGAAAACCAACAUAUAAACCAUAGUAUUUGCCCUAGAACUACCAGGUUCAACAUCUCGCAACAUAAACCCAUACAACCAUACGCCAAGGAGGUAGUAGUUAUGAAUUCCAUUUUCGCUCCAUACCAAUCGUUCUAAAAACUACUUAAGUACUUAUAACGCGCCCUUGAAAAUCGGGACUCUUAUCCCGCUAAAAAAUGAUAUUUUAAACGUGGCUACUCGAUCUGUGGCAACUAGCGAGCCACCGCCUCUAGGCCGUUCACCUGUGGUCCCGACCAUCAACUCCUAUGGAUCAAAUUAUCAUGCGAGCUGACUAUUUAUACAAAGGUGCGCUCCACCACGUACCCGGCACCCCCGCAUGUAGCAAUCGUGCACCUAGGGUUUUAGGGUUUAUUUGUUAACGGUGCCUUUACGUAACUCUCAUGCGUACGAGACAGCGAGAGACCGACUGCGUGCGUGCGCCUCUUCUCUUCAUAUAUCUACUCCACCAUUUGUCUGGUGUCCAAAAAAUUAUACAAUAGUAAUAACUACUAGCAAUGUGCCAAUGCAUUGCCACACGAUCAAAGUACAUUAAUACAUAUUCACUGAUUUGAUAGAAAAAAGAGUCUAGUUUUGAAAUACGUGUAUCACUAAAAAUAUCUUAUGUUUCACUCAAAAUAUAUUCCUUUGGCGGUUUUGAUGAGAUAAGGGAGGAAUGUUGUUGGUUUCAAGAUUCAAGAAGUGGUAUAUCUCUAAUUUCUAUUCUUACUAGCAAGAUGCCCACGCGUUGCACGAAACAUCAAGAUCUUGUGGGAGAAAAGGAUGGACGAGGGAAGGCCUUAUCUGCAAAUGUGGAGAGGAGUGCGGGUAAAUUGCCAUAGUUUCCUUCCUAUCCGUUAGAUAUAUACCAGACGGCCUAUAUUACAGGAUGGCAGGCACACCAUCAUCACCGACUAUGCUUUUUAUAAGAGUUCGAGAUAAAAAACAGAGUUGGUGAUGAUGGUGUGCCUGCCAUCCUGCUAUAUAGGCCGUCCGAUUUAUAUCUGACGGAUAGGAAGGAAACUAUGGCAAUUUUGCAAAAAGAUACCCACACCCCUCUCCACAUUUGCAAAUAAGGCCUUCCCUCGUUCAUCCUUUUCUUCCACAAGAUAAACUACUCAUACAAAUGCAUCUUGAUGUUCCGUGCAACGCAUGGGCAUCAUGCUAGUUGUUGCAAAAAGCCCAUGUGUGUGUGUGUUGUGUGUGAGAGAGGGAGAGAGGAGGAGGAUGGAGUGCAUGUGUGACAAAGACACGAAGAGUGUGUGUGCGAGAGGUAUCAGCUUAAAAUGAGGCGAUAGUGUGUGUGUACACGAUCGAGAGGGCGUGUCUCAAGAAGGGACGAAAAAUCUACAUAGAUACAAGGAGCGCGAGAGAGACAUGUACGCGAUAGUGGAAGCACGAGUGUGCGGGUGUAUAAACCUAUCUGGAGGUUAGUCGAUCAAUGAUGUCAGAGAAAUACGAGUCGGGGGUGCGAAAGCGAAAGUUUUGUGUGUGUAAGAGAGAGACGAUAGUCGGGAAGGGGAGUGGAAACAGGAGUUGUGUGUGUGUGUGAGAGAG